This 301-nucleotide ribosomal RNA is filed under the name uncultured bacterium. Its description in RNAcentral is "partial 16S ribosomal RNA". It matches the Rfam family "Bacterial small subunit ribosomal RNA", at positions 509 to 808 of the family's 1533-position model. The record is from RNAcentral.
CAGCAGCCGCGGGAAUACGGAGGAUCCAAGCGUUAUCCGGAUUUAUUGGGUUUAAAGGGUGCGUAGGCGGCCUGUUAAGUCAGGGGUGAAAGACGGUAGCUCAACUAUCGCAGUGCCCUUGAUACUGACGGGCUUGAAUACACUAGAGGUAGGCGGAAUGUGACAAGUAGCGGUGAAAUGCAUAGAUAUGUCGCAGAACACCAAUUGCGAAGGCAGCUUACUAUGUGUCAUUGACGCUGAGGCACGAAAGCGUGGGGAUCAAACAGGAUUAGAUACCCCAGUAGUCCCUGUCUCUUAUACA